RNAcentral lists this unclassified non-coding RNA (334 nucleotides) under soil metagenome. Its description in RNAcentral is "partial contains 5.8S ribosomal RNA, internal transcribed spacer 2, and large subunit ribosomal RNA". The stretch from base 1 to 120 matches the Rfam family "5.8S ribosomal RNA", at positions 35 to 154 of the family's 154-position model. The record is from RNAcentral.
GAUGAAGAACGCGGCGAAAUGCGAUAAGUAAUGUGAAUUGCAGAAUUCAGUGAAUCAUCGAAUCUUUGAACGCACAUUGCGCCCGCCAGUAUUCUGGCGGGCAUGCCUGUUCGAGCGUCAUUUCAACCAUCAAGCCCUGCUUGCGUUGGGGUCCUGCGGCUGCCCGCAGGCCCUGAAAACCAGUGGCGGGCUCGCUAGUCACACCGAGCGCAGUAAUACAUCUCGCUUUGGGCGUGCGGCGGGUUCUUGCCGUUAAACACCCCCUUUUUACCAAGGUUGACCUCGGAUCAGGUAGGAAUACCCGCUGAACUUAAGCAUAUCAAUAAGCGGAGGA